This 263-nucleotide ribosomal RNA is filed under the name Serratia myotis. RNAcentral's name for it is "partial 16S ribosomal RNA". It matches the Rfam family "Bacterial small subunit ribosomal RNA", at positions 518 to 780 of the family's 1533-position model. Lineage: Bacteria; Pseudomonadati; Pseudomonadota; Gammaproteobacteria; Enterobacterales; Yersiniaceae. The record is from RNAcentral.
CGGUAAUACGGAGGGUGCAAGCGUUAAUCGGAAUUACUGGGCGUAAAGCGCACGCAGGCGGUUUGUUAAGUCAGAUGUGAAAUCCCCGCGCUUAACGUGGGAACUGCAUUUGAAACUGGCAAGCUAGAGUCUUGUAGAGGGGGGUAGAAUUCCAGGUGUAGCGGUGAAAUGCGUAGAGAUCUGGAGGAAUACCGGUGGCGAAGGCGGCCCCCUGGACAAAGACUGACGCUCAGGUGCGAAAGCGUGGGGAGCAAACAGGAUUA